RNAcentral lists this ribosomal RNA (2655 nucleotides) under Streptococcus pneumoniae. Its description in RNAcentral is "23S ribosomal RNA". It matches the Rfam family "Bacterial large subunit ribosomal RNA". The record is from RNAcentral. Lineage: Bacteria; Bacillati; Bacillota; Bacilli; Lactobacillales; Streptococcaceae.
UUAAGUUAAUAAGGGCGCACGGUGGAUGCCUUGGCACUAGGAGCCGACGAAGGACGUGACAAACGACGAUAUGCCUUGGGUAGCUGUAAGUAAGCGAUGAUCCAGGGAUUUCCGAAUGGGGGAACCCAACAGGUAGUACCUGUUACCCACAUCUGUUAAGGAUGUGAGGAGGAAGACGCAGUGAACUGAAACAUCUAAGUAGCUGCAGGAAGAGAAAGCAAAAGCGAUUGCCUUAGUAGCGGCGAGCGAAACGGCAGGAGGGCAAACCGAAGAGUUUACUCUUCGGGGUUGUAGGACUGCAAUGUGGACUCAAAGAUUAUAGAAGAAUGAUUUGGGAAGAUCAGCCAAAGAGAGUAAUAGCCUCGUAUUUAAAAUAGUCUUUGUACUAGCAGUAUCCUGAGUACGGCGGGACACGUGAAAUCCCGUCGGAAUCUGGGAGGACCAUCUCCCAACCCUAAAUACUCCCUAGUGACCGAUAGUGAACCAGUACCGUGAGGGAAAGGUGAAAAGCACCCCGGGAGGGGAGUGAAAUAGAACCUGAAACCGUGUGCCUACAACAAGUUCGAGCCCGUUAAUGGGUGAGAGCGUGCCUUUUGUAGAAUGAACCGGCGAGUUACGUUAUGAUGCGAGGUUAAGUUGAAGAGACGGAGCCGUAGGGAAACCGAGUCUGAAUAGGGCGCCUUAGUAUCAUGACGUAGACCCGAAACCAUGUGACCUACCCAUGAGCAGGUUGAAGGUGCGGUAAGACGCACUGGAGGACCGAACCAGGGCACGUUGAAAAGUGCUUGGAUGACUUGUGGGUAGCGGAGAAAUUCCAAACGAACUUGGAGAUAGCUGGUUCUCUCCGAAAUAGCUUUAGGGCUAGCGUCGACAUUAGAGAUUCUUGGAGGUAGAGCACUGUUUGGGUGAGGGGUCCAUCCCGGAUUACCAAUCUCAGAUAAACUCCGAAUGCCAAUGAAUUAUGGUCGGCAGUCAGACUGCGAGUGCUAAGAUCCGUAGUCGAAAGGGAAACAGCCCAGACCACCAGCUAAGGUCCCAAAAUAAUUGUUAAGUGGAAAAGGAUGUGGGGUUGCACAGACAACUAGGAUGUUAGCUUAGAAGCAGCUAUUCAUUCAAAGAGUGCGUAAUAGCUCACUAGUCGAGUGACCCUGCGCCGAAAAUGUACCGGGGCUAAAACAAUUUACCGAAGCUGUGGAUACCUUUAUAGGUAUGGUAGGAGAGCGUUCUAUGUGUGAUGAAGGUAUACCGUGAGGAGUGCUGGAACGCAUAGAAGUGAGAAUGCCGGUAUUAACAUUGAGCUGUGAUGGGGAGCGAAGUUUAGUAGCGAAGUUAGUGACGUCACACUGCCAAGAAAAGCUUCUAGCGUUUAAACAUACUCUACCCGUACCGCAAACCGACACAGGUAGUCGAGGCGAGUAGCCUCAGGUGAGCGAGAGAACUCUCGUUAAGGAACUCGGCAAAAUGACCCCGUAACUUCGGGAGAAGGGGUGCUGACUUUAAGUCAGCCGCAGUGAAUAGGCCCAAGCAACUGUUUAUCAAAAACACAGCUCUCUGCUAAAUCGUAAGAUGAUGUAUAGGGGGUGACGCCUGCCCGGUGCUGGAAGGUUAAGAGGAGUGCUUAGCGUAAGCGAAGGUAUGAAUUGAAGCCCCAGUAAACGGCGGCCGUAACUAUAACGGUCCUAAGGUAGCGAAAUUCCUUGUCGGGUAAGUUCCGACCCGCACGAAAGGCGUAAUGAUUUGGGCACUGUCUCAACGAGAGACUCGGUGAAAUUUUAGUACCUGUGAAGAUGCAGGUUACCCGCGACAGGACGGAAAGACCCCAUGGAGCUUUACUGCAGUUUGAUAUUGAGUGUCUGUACCACAUGUACAGGAUAGGUAGGAGUCUAAGAGAUCGGGACGCCAGUUUCGAAGGAGACGCUGUUGGGAUACUACCCUUGUGUUAUGGCCACUCUAACCCAGAUAGGUGAUCCCUAUCGGAGACAGUGUCUGACGGGCAGUUUGACUGGGGCGGUCGCCUCCUAAAAGGUAACGGAGGCGCCCAAAGGUUCCCUCAGAAUGGUUGGAAAUCAUUCGCAGAGUGUAAAGGUAUAAGGGAGCUUGACUGCGAGAGCUACAACUCGAGCAGGGACGAAAGUCGGGCUUAGUGAUCCGGUGGUUCCGUAUGGAAGGGCCAUCGCUCAACGGAUAAAAGCUACCCUGGGGAUAACAGGCUUAUCUCCCCCAAGAGUUCACAUCGACGGGGAGGUUUGGCACCUCGAUGUCGGCUCGUCGCAUCCUGGGGCUGUAGUCGGUCCCAAGGGUUGGGCUGUUCGCCCAUUAAAGCGGCACGCGAGCUGGGUUCAGAACGUCGUGAGACAGUUCGGUCCCUAUCCGUCGCGGGCGUAGGAAAUUUGAGAGGAUCUGCUCCUAGUACGAGAGGACCAGAGUGGACUUACCGCUGGUGUACCAGUUGUCUUGCCAAAGGCAUCGCUGGGUAGCUAUGUAGGGAAGGGAUAAACGCUGAAAGCAUCUAAGUGUGAAACCCACCUCAAGAUGAGAUUUCCCAUGAUUAUAUAUCAGUAAGAGCCCUGAGAGAUGAUCAGGUAGAUAGGUUAGAAGUGGAAGUGUGGCGACACAUGUAGCGGACUAAUACUAAUAGCUCGAGGACUUAUCCAA